Molecule: long non-coding RNA, 2973 nt
Filed under: Citrus sinensis (sweet orange)
Lineage: Eukaryota; Viridiplantae; Streptophyta; Magnoliopsida; Sapindales; Rutaceae
Description: long non-coding RNA (CSIN_LNC002842)
Source: RNAcentral
GCACCCCGAACUUCGGGGGCUGUUUUUUGGGCGCGGCUGUGCCCGUGGCCUAUUUUUGGCACACGGAGGCCGCCCGCCAACUCUGGUGCCAUUCCGAGUCCCGCGGACGAACUUCGCCCACGCCCCCCACCAAGGCUAUAGCCCACCCGUUUUUUGGCCAUUUUUCCGCUGGGGGGUCUUGGGACCCCGACCUUCGGGGGCUGAUUUUUGGGCGCGGCUGUGCCCGUGGCCUAUUUUUGGCACACGGAGGCCGCCCGCCAAGUCUGGUGCCAUUCCGAGUCCCGCGGACGAACUUCGCCCACGCCCCCCACCAAGGCUAUAGCCCACCCGUUUUUUGGCCAUUUUUCCGCUGGGGGGUCUUGGGACCCCGAACUUCGGGGGCUGUUUUUUGGGCGCGGCUGUGCCCGUGGCCUAUUUUUGGCACACGGAGGCCGCCCGCCAAGUCUGGUGCCAUUCCGAGUCCCGCGGACGAACUUCGCCCACGCCCCCCACCAAGGCUAUAGCCCACCCGUUUUUUGGCCAUUUUUCCGCUGGGGGGUCUUGGGACCCCGAACUUCGGGGGCUGUUUUUUGGGCGCGGCUGUGCCCGUGGCCUAUUUUUGGCACACGGAGGCCGCCCGCCAAGUCUGGUGCCAUUCCGAGUCCCGCGGACGAACUUCGCCCACGCCCCCCACCAAGGCUAUAGCCCACCCGUUUUUUGGCCAUUUUUCCGCUGGGGGGUCUUGGGACCCCGAACUUCGGGGGCUGUUUUUUGGGCGCGGCUGUGCCCGUGGCCUAUUUUUGGCACACGGAGGCCGCCCGCCAAGUCUGGUGCCAUUCCGAGUCCCGCGGACGAACUUCGCCCACGCCCCCCACCAAGGCUAUAGCCCACCCGUUUUUUGGCCAUUUUUCCGCUGGGGGGUCUUGGGACCCCGAACUUCGGGGGCUGUUUUUUGGGCGCGGCUGUGCCCGUGGCCUAUUUUUGGCACACGGAGGCCGCCCGCCAAGUCUGGUGCCAUUCCGAGUCCCGCGGACGAACUUCGCCCACGCCCCCCACCAAGGCUAUAGCCCACCCGUUUUUUGGCCAUUUUUCCGCUGGGGGGUCUUGGGACCCCGAACUUCGGGGGCUGUUUUUUGGGCGCGGCUGUGCCCGUGGCCUAUUUUUGGCACACGGAGGCCGCCCGCCAAGUCUGGUGCCAUUCCGAGUCCCGCGGACGAACUUCGCCCACGCCCCCCACCAAGGCUAUAGCCCACCCGUUUUUUGGCCAUUUUUCCGCUGGGGGGUCUUGGGACCCCGAACUUCGGGGGCUGUUUUUUGGGCGCGGCUGUGCCCGUGGCCUAUUUUUGGCACACGGAGGCCGCCCGCCAAGUCUGGUGCCAUUCCGAGUCCCGCGGACGAACUUCGCCCACGCCCCCCACCAAGGCUAUAGCCCACCCGUUUUUCCGGCGGACGAACUUCGCCCGCGCCCCCUACCAAGGCUAUAGCCCACCCAUUGUUUUGGCCAAUUUCCGCAGGCGGGUUUUGGUGCCCCGACCUUUGGGGGCUAAUUUUUGGGCACGGCUGUGCCCGGGACUCCCUGGUGGCACACCGAGGCCGCCCAUAAAGCCUCGCCCCAUUCCGAGUCUGGCGGACGAACUUCGCCCGCUUCCCCCACCAAGGCUAUAGCCCACCCAUCGCCCACCACCAAGGCUAUAGCCCACCCGUUUUUUUGGCCUUUUUCUGCUGCGGCCUUUUGGCACCCCAACCUUCGGGCGCUUAUUUUUGGGCACGGCUGUGUCCGCGACUCCCCGUGGGCACACGGAAGUUCCUCGCAAAGUCUCAUCCCAUUCUGAGUCCUACGGACGAACUUUGUCCGCGCCCACCACCAAGGCUAUAUAGCCCACCCGUUUUUUUUGGCAUUUUUCCGCUGGGGCCUUUUGGCAUCCCGACCUUCGAGCGCUUAUUUUUGGGCGUGGCUAUGCCUGCGACUCCCCGCAUGCACAUGGAGGCCCCUUUCAAAGUCUCGCCCCAUUCCGAGUCCGGCGGACGAACUUCGCCCGCGCCCCCCACCAAGGCUAUAGCCCACCCAUUUUUCUGGCCUUUUUCCGUUGGGGGCUUUUGGCACCCCGACCUUCGGGUGCUUAAUUUUGGGUGCGGCUGUGGUUGCGACUCUCCAUGGGUACAUGGAGGUUCCUCGCAAUGUCUCGUCCCAUUCCGAGUCCUGCGGACAAACUUCGUCCGCGCCCACCACCAAGGCUAUAGCCCACCCGUGUUUUUGGCCUUUUUCUGCUGGGGCCUUUUUGCACUCCGACCUUCGGGCGCUUCUUUUUGGGCGCGGCUGUGCCCACAACUCCCCGCAGGCACACGGAGGCCCCUUCCAAAGUCUCGCCCCAUUCCGACUCCGGUGGACGAACUUCGGCCGCGCCCCCCACCAAGGCUAUGGCCCACCCGUUUUUCUGGCCUUUUUCUGCUGCCCGCCCCCCCCCAGGGCUAUAGCCCACCCGUUUUUUUGGCCAUUUUCCGCUGGGGGCUUUUGGGAGCCCGACCUUCGGGUGCUUGUUUUUGGGUACCGCUGAACCCGUAAGUCCCCGGGGGUACACUGAGGUCGCUCAGAAAGCCUCGUCCCAUUCCGAGCCCGGAGGACGAACUUCGCCCGCGCCCCCCACCAAGGCUAUAGCCCACCCGUUUUUUGGCCAUUUUUCCACUGGGGGGUCUUGGGACCCCGACCUUCGGGGGCUGAUUUUUGGGCGCGGCUGUGCCCGUGGCCUAUUUUUGGCACACGGAGGCCGCCCGCCAAGUCUGGUGCCAUUCCGAGUCCCGCGGACGAACUUCGCCCACGCCCCCCACCAAGGCUAUAGCCCACCCGUUUUUUGGCCAUUUUUCCGCUGGGAGGUCUUGGGACCCCGAACUUCGGGGGCUGUUUUUUGGGCGCGGCUGUGCCCGUGGCCUAUUUUUGGCACACGGAGGCCGCCCGCCAAGUCUGGUGCCAUUCCGAGUCCCGCGGACGAACUUCGC